GAUGAACGCUGGCGGCGUGCCUAAUACAUGCAAGUCGAGCGAACGGACGAGAAGCUUGCUUCUCUGAUGUUAGCGGCGGACGGGUGAGUAACACGUGGAUAACCUACCUAUAAGACUGGGAUAACUUCGGGAAACCGGAGCUAAUACCGGAUAAUAUUUUGAACCGCAUGGUUCAAAAGUGAAAGACGGUCUUGCUGUCACUUAUAGAUGGAUCCGCGCCGCAUUAGCUAGUUGGUAAGGUAACGGCUUACCAAGGCAACGAUGCGUAGCCGACCUGAGAGGGUGAUCGGCCACACUGGAACUGAGACACGGUCCAGACUCCUACGGGAGGCAGCAGUAGGGAAUCUUCCGCAAAGGGCGAAAGCCUGACGGAGCAACGCCGCGUGAGUGAUGAAGGUCUUCGGAUCGUAAAACUCUGUUAUUAGGGAAGAACAUAUGUGUAAGUAACUGUGCACAUCUUGACGGUACCUAAUCAGAAAGCCACGGCUAACUACGUG
This 497-nucleotide ribosomal RNA is filed under the name uncultured bacterium. Its description in RNAcentral is "partial 16S ribosomal RNA". It matches the Rfam family "Bacterial small subunit ribosomal RNA", at positions 28 to 507 of the family's 1533-position model. The record is from RNAcentral.